Molecule: ribosomal RNA, 407 nt
Filed under: uncultured Bdellovibrio sp.
Lineage: Bacteria; Pseudomonadati; Bdellovibrionota; Bdellovibrionia; Bdellovibrionales; Pseudobdellovibrionaceae
Description: bacterial SSU rRNA
Rfam family: Bacterial small subunit ribosomal RNA
Source: RNAcentral
UAGGGAAUAUUGGACAAUGGGGGAAACCCUGAUCCAGCAACGCCGCGUGAGUGACGAAGGCCUUCGGGUUGUAAAGCUCUGUCGCACAGGACGAAAAAAAUGACGGUACUGUGCAAGAAAGGACCGGCCAACUUCGUGCCAGCAGCCGCGGUAAGACGAGGGGUCCUAGCGUUGUUCGGAAUUACUGGGCGUAAAGCGCAUGUAGGUUGCUUCGAAAGUCAGGUGUGAAAGCCUUGGGCUCAACCCAAGAAGUGCACUUGAUACUGCGAAGCUUGAGUAUGGGAGAGGGUAGUAGAAUUCCUGGUGUAGUGGUGAAAUACGUAGAUAUCAGGAGGAAUACCGGUGGCGAAGGCGGCUACCUGGCCCAAUACUGACACUGAGAUGCGAAAGCGUGGGGAUCAAACAGG